UUGAGAUACUUCCAAUGGAGAUGC
RNAcentral lists this non-coding RNA (24 nucleotides) under Arabidopsis thaliana (thale cress). Lineage: Eukaryota; Viridiplantae; Streptophyta; Magnoliopsida; Brassicales; Brassicaceae. The record is from RNAcentral.